UACGUAGGGGGCGAGCGUUGUCCGGAAUUAUUGGGCGUAAAGAGCGUGUAGGCGGUUCGGUAAGUCUGGCGUGAAAUUUUUCGGCUUAACCGGGAAAGGUCGUCGGAUACUGCGAGGCUAGAGGACGGUAGAGGCGUGUGGAAUUCCGGGUGUAGUGGUGAAAUGCGUAGAGAUCCGGAGGAACACCAGUGGCGAAGGCGACACGCUGGGCCGUACCUGACACUGAUGCGCGACAGCAUGGGGAGCAAACAGG
RNAcentral lists this ribosomal RNA (253 nucleotides) under uncultured bacterium. Its description in RNAcentral is "partial 16S ribosomal RNA". It matches the Rfam family "Bacterial small subunit ribosomal RNA", at positions 524 to 776 of the family's 1533-position model. The record is from RNAcentral.